Molecule: ribosomal RNA, 392 nt
Filed under: uncultured organism
Description: bacterial SSU rRNA
Rfam family: Bacterial small subunit ribosomal RNA
Source: RNAcentral
GGCAUAAUACAUGCAAGUUGAACGAGAUUAGUUUUAGCAAUAGAACUAGUUUAGUGGCGCACGGGUGCGUAACGCGUAUGCAACCUACCUUAAACAGGGGAAUAGCCUCUCGAAAGAGAGAUUAAUACCGCAUAACAUAUAUUUAGAGCAUUCUAGAUAUAUCAAACCUACGGGGGUUUAAGAUGGGCAUGCGUGACAUUAGCUAGUUGGUGAGGUAACGGCUCACCAAGGCAACGAUGUCUAGGGGGUCUGAGAGGAUGUCCCCCCACACUGGUACUGAGACACGGACCAGACUCCUACGGGAGGCAGCAGUAGGGAAUAUUGGUCAAUGGAGGCAACUCUGGACCAGCCAUGCCGCGUGCAGGACUAAGGCCCUAUGGGUCGUAAACUGC